GGGCCGGACGCGUGUUGGUUGCAGGCAGCGGACUCAUAAUCCGCCGGAAAUUCCCACCGUGGGUUCGAAUCCACCCGGCCCACCA
RNAcentral lists this transfer RNA (85 nucleotides) under Cupriavidus sp. UYMSc13B. RNAcentral describes it as "tRNA-Met". It matches the Rfam family "tRNA". From Rfam's summary of the family: Transfer RNA (tRNA) molecules are approximately 80 nucleotides in length. Their secondary structure includes four short double-helical elements and three loops (D, anti-codon, and T loops). The record is from RNAcentral. Lineage: Bacteria; Pseudomonadati; Pseudomonadota; Betaproteobacteria; Burkholderiales; Burkholderiaceae.